Molecule: ribosomal RNA, 496 nt
Filed under: uncultured bacterium
Lineage: Bacteria
Description: partial 16S ribosomal RNA
Rfam family: Bacterial small subunit ribosomal RNA
Source: RNAcentral
GAUGAACGCUGGCGGCGUGCCUAAUACAUGCAAGUCGAGCGAACAGACGAGGAGCUUGCUCCUCUGACGUUAGCGGCGGACGGGUGAGUAACACGUGGAUAACCUACCUAUAAGACUGGGAUAACUUCGGGAAACCGGAGCUAAUACCGGAUAAUAUAUUGAACCGCAUGGUUCAAUAGUGAAAGACGGUUUUGCUGUCACUUAUAGAUGGAUCCGCGCCGCAUUAGCUAGUUGGUAAGGUAACGGCUUACCAAGGGAACGAUGCGUAGCCGACCUGAGAGGGGGUACGCCCACACGGGAACUAAACACGGGCCAAAACCCCCAGGGAGGGAACAGGUGGGGAAUUUUCCCCAUGGGGGGAAGGCUAAACGAGCCAAGCCGCGGGGAGGAAUAAAGGGUUUGGGUUGUAAAAACUCUGUUUUUGGGAAAAAAAAAAUUUUUAAAAAACUGUGCCGUCCUUAGCGGAACCAAAGAAAAAGGCCCCGCCAAACACCUG